Molecule: non-coding RNA, 603 nt
Filed under: Pan troglodytes (chimpanzee)
Lineage: Eukaryota; Metazoa; Chordata; Mammalia; Primates; Hominidae
Source: RNAcentral
GCUGUGAUACAGAUUAAUUGAUGGUGAAUCAGCUGUUGGGAAAACAAGCUCAGGGCUCCCACUGAUUGUACAUUAUGACCAAGUGUGUUGGGGACUUGAGAUGCGUACAUGAGUGUUUGUGAUGUUUCCUGCCGAAAGCACAGGUGAGACGUGGUCUUGUAACACAGUGGUUAAGAAUGUGACUUUGGAGCCAGCCUGCUAGGGGCUGAAUUCUGACUCAGCCAUUUACUAACUGUGUGACCUUAGGGAGGAGGACCUGGUUGAUAGAAGAAUUUAUCUCGUAGUCUUAACAUCCACUGUAAUUCCAAACUUUGAGGACGAUAGAGAUCAGUGGGCUUUGACUGCCCAGCAUGCAGUCUCCAUUCUUAGGUGGGUUCCCAAGCCUGUAAAAUGUAAGCCUUAUGCUGCUGAGGGCCAUCUUGCCACCCUGAGGGAAACGCUGCCUGAGAAUGAAACCAGCAUAAGUAAAAGCUGAGCUGUGAGAUGGAGCAAGAUGAAGGCCACAUGACAUCUUUGGAGCACCUGGAUCUAACUGUGCCUUAAGCUAGUCUAACCCUGAACAUUUCAUCAUUUCAUUGACAUGAGCCCAGGUUUUCUUUUUUU